UUGAACCAGCUAUGCCAUGAAAGUGGCCAUAAGAUUGAGCAUUUGGGUUGAACGCCAUGAAUCUUGACACAUGAUAUCUCAUUUCUGAGAACACUUUUUUUAAAUAAUUUCCAUAUUACAAGUUUAUUAUUUUUCCUGGUGACUUAGUCACAUAUAUUGACACAAUGUGAAGGUUUUCCAAUAUUUUUAUUUUAUUUUAUUUUUUUAUACCCGUUUCAAAAUGCGGCCAAAACGGCGGGAAUGACCGUUUAUAGCUAGUGGUUGAAUCUUGGAAUAUUUUUGGUGUUUCUCUGAUUAAAUAGAUACUUAAGUACCUAGAAAUGAUUUUUGAAAAAAAUAAAGAGGAAACUACGAGGUAGCUGCAGUUCAAAUUUGACCCGCUUCCUCCUAAAUCGGCGGAAAUUUGUCUUUUUCACGAGAGGUGGAUAAAAGCUUUUGACACCCAACCAUUUGGUCAACUGUGCACUAAAUAUGGCCUAAUAUUUUAGAAAAAUGAUUUGGUCCUAUUUUGCAACAAAUAUUUGGUAGGCCCUUCACAAUUAAACCCAUUUUGGGCACACGAAAAAUGGAAAAUUGAGUUUUCGUCCAAAGAAAAUGAAAACUUUCUUAAGCAACAUUGUUUGACAUUCCUAGAUGCACUCUUGUGCAAAAUAUGAGAUGAAUACUUGAUUUUUUCAUGUAAAAAAGUAGAAGAAAAACAAAAGAAAAACACAAUUAUAUGUGCUCUACUCCUAUUGGUGGAAUUUGUUGUCACACCAAUCGAUGACAUGGCGCACAUCCAUCCAUCCUUCUCUCCAUACCACAUCCAUCCAUCCAUCCAUCCAUCCAUUUAUGUACAGAAAAAAAAGAAAAUGAAAAAGAAAACCCCACCCGCAUCCACCUACCCAAACCCUACCCAGAUCCCAUCGAUCCCCUCCUCCCAUCGCACCCCUCCUCCCCUAUCUCCUCGCCGCCGCCAACGACGGUGCUCCCCUCGAUCCCUCCCACCGUUGUCUCCCUCCCUCAAAUCGAGCUCCCCCUCCCGUCUCUGUCCCACCUCUCGAAGCUCCCGUGCCCACUGCCGCCGCUGACUACCACACCGUCGUGGCCGGCCACGAUGGCCAGUACCUGUACUACUCCUACGGCGGUGGCGUCGACGCCUUGUGCCGUUGUGACAGGCCGGCGACGGCAGCCAUGCCCACCGAGGAGGGCUUCUUCGAUGACAUCUUCGACGCCCGUGCACGUCAGGUGCAGUCUAGGUCCAGGUCCAAGUCCACCAAGUCGUCGUUGGUGAUCAGCUUUGGCCGCUCCGCCUUCCGAUCGCCGGCCACCAGCGGCGGCGCGGCAACGCUGCCCUCUCCUCCUUCACGUCCAAGCUCAGGUGAACCAGACGUCAGGUCCGAUUCAGGCGAUGCCUCCCUCUCCUCUCCCACCCAAGAUCCCCAUAGCAGUUCGAUCUGUAGUUGUGUAAUUAGGUAGCCAGAUCCCCAUUUCGUGUCCAUGUAGUCGUAGCACCAUUAGAAUUCAACCAAACCAAUCAAGCAAGCAAUGUGUUCAUGUAGAUGUAGCGGUUGAUCAGCAUCAAUGGCGGGCACCGGGGUGUUCUCGUAGAUCCAAACUGGGCAACUCCAGUUAUUAGUCAGUAGUAGAAUUUGUUGUGCUUCUGAACAUGUUGUUCUAUUAUUGCACUGCAUUUUGUACCAUCCGUCACAAGGUUCAAUUAAGAUUCAGUUGCAAGCUUUGCAUGUCAUUGAGAUUCUGGAAGAUGAUUUGGUUCACUUCACCCAAUGAUUUCUUCAUCAUAAACUGAGCAUAUGCGGUUUAUUCAAGAACCCUCCUUAUUGAAGUGUGCAUCCAUUCCAUUGAGAUGGCUAUUGCAAGCAGCAAAGUUAUAUUGAUAACAGUUCGUGUGCUUGCUCACUAACAAGUUUGCAUUUCUGCCCAAUAACAGGUUCCACUUCUUGGUGGAGCGAUGUGCACGUGCACCUGGCAUUUCUUCUACAACUGAGUGUCUCUCGAGGUAACAUAUUAACCUGAAGGCAAAGCAGUUGCAUUCCCUUUCCUACCAAUCAUCGAUAUCAGCUGCACCGCAGGACUCAACCGUACCGUACGCCGGGCGUUGUCAUGUAGAUUUUGCCCACCGUGUAGAUUUUGGCCCUGCAAUCCGGUUCGAGAAUUCACUGUCUGACAGUCAUUGAGGAAGUGCAUGCAUGGACUAUGCAAUGCUCUUUAAUGUAGAAGCUCUGUCCCUCUGGUCUAUAUUACUGUACUAGUCAGUGUCACAUUUCAGUUGAUCUGUUAGGGCGAGAAAAGGAAAUUGCCAGGCAACUACUCCAUCCAUACUUGCAAAGACUUCUUGUAUUUUGGUACAGAGGCACUAGUUACUAGUGUGUUUAUCAAAGCUUUACUAGUGUUUAUGAGUAAAACUGUCGUGUCUAUUUCUCUAAACGUUCUGCAAAUAAUUUUAAAACGUACAGUUUAUGUAGUUUCAUUGUGGUUGAUUGACAUCCCUGUGAAUAUAAAAUUCAGGACCAACUGUUAGCUUUUUGUGAAGCAAAAACAUUUGGUAAAAAAAUCAUAGAAGCCCCCAAUAAGUCAAUUUAUAGUUGACAGAAGAGUAUGAUUUGGUGUUGGUGUGUGUGAACUUCUGACAUUUUGAUCUCUGAAUGUUAGUUGGACAUUUUGCUAGUCUGACAUUUUGAUAUCUGACUGCUAGUUUGACAUUUUGAUAUCUGAAUACCUUUCUCCCCCCUCAUCUUUUCUUCUUCUGCUCUCUGCCUGACCCCCUUCUCAUCUCUGUUUCGAACCACGACGUCACCAUGGGAGAAGAAGGCGUGAUGUGUUGUGCUGCUGCUCGGGAGGGACGCCAUGGGCCUCCCUCCACUGCUUCUUCUCUUCCCCUAACUCCAUCAAGGUGAUGGAUUGGUACAGCGACCUACUCCCCUGCUUCCUAUGUUAAUUUGGUGUGCGAUGUGGAUGUGAUGUAUUUUAGGCAUGAUUAAAUACGUAUUUUGGUUCAACUCUGACUGAAACAACUUGUUGGUUCAGUUUCUUGUAUGAAGAACAAAUAUGACGAACAUUUUUUGUUUAGUUUACGACCGCCAGCUUUUGACCAUCUGUUUUUGGUCACA
This 3110-nucleotide long non-coding RNA is filed under the name Triticum aestivum (bread wheat). Its description in RNAcentral is "long non-coding RNA (TAES_LNC003080)". The record is from RNAcentral. Lineage: Eukaryota; Viridiplantae; Streptophyta; Magnoliopsida; Poales; Poaceae.